GAUGAAGAACGUAGCGAAAUGCGAUAAGUAAUGUGAAUUGCAGAAUUCAGUGAAUCAUCGAAUCUUUGAACGCACAUUGCGCCCCCUGGUAUUCCGGGGGGCAUGCCUGUUCGAGCGUCAUUUCACCACUCAAGCCUCGCUUGGUAUUGGGCAACGCGGUCCGCCGCGUGCCUCAAAUCGACCGGCUGGGUCUUCUGUCCCCUAAGCGUUGUGGAAACUUUCGCUAAAGGGUGUUCGGGAGGCUACGCCGUAAAACAACCCCAUUUCUAAGGUUGACCGCGGAUCAGGUAGGGAUACCCGCUGAACUUUAGCAUAUCAAUACGCGGAGGA
RNAcentral lists this unclassified non-coding RNA (330 nucleotides) under soil metagenome. Its description in RNAcentral is "partial contains 5.8S ribosomal RNA, internal transcribed spacer 2, and large subunit ribosomal RNA". The stretch from base 1 to 120 matches the Rfam family "5.8S ribosomal RNA", at positions 35 to 154 of the family's 154-position model. The record is from RNAcentral.